UCUAUCUAUCUAUCUAUCUAUCUAUCUAUCUAUCUAUCUAUCUAUCAGGUGAACACUGAGAGACAUGUGGAGGAGGCAAACACGGCGAAAAAGUCAUUGGCGACAAGACAUAUGCCAGAGAGAAAGAAGCUACAAAAACUUGUCUCUGCUGUCUCUACUCCACUUCAAGACGGAGAUGUGAAACACAAGACGAAGCGGGGAGUGGAAAGAAGUGGGCCAAGUCCUGGCAGCCAAAAGACUCAAUAAUACAUUUGUAAAUAUGUAUAUACUGUAGUUAAGUUUCCCCUCCAAUCCUGAGGUUUCACAGACUACUGAUGGUUAAUGGUUAAU
Molecule: long non-coding RNA, 330 nt
Organism: Chelmon rostratus (copperband butterflyfish)
Lineage: Eukaryota; Metazoa; Chordata; Actinopteri; Chaetodontiformes; Chaetodontidae
Exons: 4
Source: RefSeq, a predicted model, not a curated record